RNAcentral lists this ribosomal RNA (748 nucleotides) under uncultured cyanobacterium. RNAcentral describes it as "bacterial SSU rRNA". It matches the Rfam family "Bacterial small subunit ribosomal RNA", at positions 323 to 1084 of the family's 1533-position model. The record is from RNAcentral. Lineage: Bacteria; Bacillati; Cyanobacteriota.
GACACGGCCCAGACUCCUACGGGAGGCAGCAGUGGGGAAUUUUCCGCAAUGGGCGAAAGCCUGACGGAGCAACGCCGCGUGCGGGAGGAAGGCCUUAGGGUUGUAAACCGCUUUUAUCAGGGAAGAACACAAUGACGGUACCUGAUGAAUAAGCCUCGGCUAAUUCCGUGCCAGCAGCCGCGGUAAUACGGGAGAGGCGAGCGUUAUCCGGAAUUAUUGGGCGUAAAGCGUCCGCAGGUGGCCAAUUAAGUCUGUCGUUAAAUCGUGGAGCUCAACUCCAUACAAGCGAUGGAAACUGAUUGGCCAGAGUACGGUAGGGGUAGCGGGAAUUCCAGGUGUAGCGGUGAAAUGCGUAGAUAUCUGGAAGAACACCAGCGACGAAAGUGCGCUACUGGGCCUGUACUGACACUCAUGGACGAAAGCCAGGGGAGCGAAAGGGAUUAGAUACCCCUGUAGUCCUGGCCGUAAACGAUGAACACUAGGUGUUGCGCGAAUCGACCCGUGCAGUGCCGUAGCCAACGCGUUAAGUGUUCCGCCUGGGGAGUACGCACGCAAGUGUGAAACUCAAAGGAAUUGACGGGGGCCCGCACAAGCGGUGGAGUAUGUGGUUUAAUUCGAUGCAACGCGAAGAACCUUACCAAGGCUUGACAUCCCCCGAAUCUCUGGGAAACCGGAGAGUGCCUUCGGGAGCGGGGAGACAGGUGGUGCAUGGCUGUCGUCAGCUCGUGUCGUGAGAUGUUGGGUUAAG